RNAcentral lists this ribosomal RNA (464 nucleotides) under Vreelandella stevensii. RNAcentral's name for it is "partial 16S ribosomal RNA". It matches the Rfam family "Bacterial small subunit ribosomal RNA", at positions 339 to 795 of the family's 1533-position model. The record is from RNAcentral. Lineage: Bacteria; Pseudomonadati; Pseudomonadota; Gammaproteobacteria; Oceanospirillales; Halomonadaceae.
CUACGGGCGGCUGCAGUGGGGAAUAUUGGACAAUGGGCGAAAGCCUGAUCCAGCCAUGCCGCGUGUGUGAAGAAGGCCUUCGGGUUGUAAAGCACUUUCAGUGGGGAAGAAAGCCUUGGGGCUAAUACCCUCGAGGAAGGACAUCACCCACAGAAGAAGCACCGGCUAACUCCGUGCCAGCAGCCGCGGUAAUACGGAGGGUGCGAGCGUUAAUCGGAAUUACUGGGCGUAAAGCGCGCGUAGGCGGUCUGAUAAGCCGGUUGUGAAAGCCCCGGGCUCAACCUGGGAACGGCAUCCGGAACUGUCAGGCUAGAGUGCAGGAGAGGAAGGUAGAAUUCCCGGUGUAGCGGUGAAAUGCGUAGAGAUCGGGAGGAAUACCAGUGGCGAAGGCGGCCUUCUGGACUGACACUGACGCUGAGGUGCGAAAGCGUGGGUAGCAAACAGGAUUAGAUACCCUAGUAGUC